This is a long non-coding RNA of Drosophila miranda, 478 nucleotides long. RefSeq lists it as uncharacterized. The transcript has 3 exons. Lineage: Eukaryota; Metazoa; Arthropoda; Insecta; Diptera; Drosophilidae. The record is from RefSeq and is a predicted model, not a curated record.
GUGGUGGAAUAAAGUAAAGUGAAUAAAGCUGCACACGCAAAUGGAUGUUGCGAUGGCCGAAAGACGGAAAUCAUCUACUCCACUUUUCUCCAGUCCACCCCCUCCACUCAACUCCCAUACAAUCUAAUCAAUCAAAUCCCCAUUCCAAUUCCCAUUCAUCUCCAAGUGAGAAAUUUUCAAACAAGCCGGUGGGCACGUGACCGUAACUUUGACAUGCUUCGAUGAGCAGUGGGACAGGGGAUAGGGCAGAGAGAUUAACUAAAUAUGGCAAUCAUGCAAUCGCAUUUUUCUGAUGAAGGUUGUCAGAUUGCUGGAUUGUCAGACUCCCUUUGGGCAUAGUCACUAGACAUGAUGGAGGAGGGAUGGAAUGGAUGGAGGUCAACAGAGAAGCUGAUGGAACACGAUACCCGGUCAUUUGAGCGAGCCUGCUAGUAUGUAUAUCACUAUCAGCAUACAUGAAUAAAGCACAUCUAUUAUA